AGUGAACGCUGGCGGUAGGCCUAACACAUGCAAGUCGAACGGCAGCACAGUAAGAGCUUGCUCUUACGGGUGGCGAGUGGCGGACGGGAGAGGAAUACAUCGUAAUCUACUUUUUCGUGGGGGCGAACGUAGGGAAACCUACGAUAAUAUCGCAUACGACCCACGGUUGAAAGCAGGGGAUCUUCGGACCUUUCGCGGUUGAAUGAGCCGAUGUCGGAUUAGCUAGUUGGCGGGGUAAAGGCCCACCAAGGCGACGAUCCGUAGCUGGUCUGAGAGGAUGGUUAGCCGCCCUGGGACUGAGACCCGGUCCACACUCCUACGGGCGGGGGCAGUGCGCAAUCUUGGGCAAUGGGCGGAAGCCUGUUCCCGCCAUGCCGCGUGGGUGAGGAAGGCCCCCGGGUUGUAAAGCCCGUUUGUUGGGUAAGAAAAGCAGCAGGUUAAUACCGUGCUGUUCUGACGGUACCCAGAGGAUGAGCCCCGGCUAACUUCGUG
This 492-nucleotide ribosomal RNA is filed under the name uncultured bacterium. RNAcentral's name for it is "partial 16S ribosomal RNA". It matches the Rfam family "Bacterial small subunit ribosomal RNA", at positions 29 to 507 of the family's 1533-position model. The record is from RNAcentral.